Molecule: non-coding RNA, 1331 nt
Organism: Cicer arietinum (chickpea)
Lineage: Eukaryota; Viridiplantae; Streptophyta; Magnoliopsida; Fabales; Fabaceae
Source: RefSeq, a predicted model, not a curated record
AAAAACCCCCAAUUUUUGUUUGGAGGAAUUUUUCAUCUACCCGAAUUUUUGGAUUGCCGCCUAUAGAGCCCUAAAUCAAACGGAAACAGCAACGGUCGUGAACAGCAGCAGCAACAACAGUUCGACGGCAGCAGCGACGCGACGACAGCGCCAUUCGUUGGCUACAGCAACAAUCGCGAACGACAGCCGCAACAACAGCCGCGACGCAACAACAACGCCUCCUCUCUCACAAUCUUUCUCACACCACACCACGAUUUCUCCACGGGAUGGCGAACAAUGGGGAAGAUUUCUCCCAAUUCGGCAUUUCAAAGGAGGAAAAGGAUAAGCUUGUUGGAGAAGUAAUCCGCUACAUGCUUUUCAAAACCCAUCAAAAUUCUGGGUGCCCAAUUAAGAGAGAUGAACUAACUCAGCUCAUUACAAAGAAUUAUCAUCAGCGUAACCUUCCUAGUUUUGUCAUCAAUGAGGCUAAGGGCAAGCUUUCUACUGUGUUUGGCUAUGAAAUGAGAGAACUUUCAAGGUCUCUCCCAUCAUCCAAAUCUCAGACACGCGCUUCGCAACAAAGUGUUGCAGAUUCCAAAUCAUAUAUUCUGACAAGUCAACUUCCUCCUGAUUUAUAUGAAAAAUAUGUUGUGGAUGCGAAUACAGCGUACAUGACUGGUUUCACGUUUGUCAUAAUUAGUAUUGUACAUCUUGCUGGUGGCAAAAUUCCAGAAGAAAGUCUGUGGAGCCAAUUGAAUAGGAUGAGUUUGAGUGACAGUGAAGCAAGUCAUCCCGUCCUUGGAAACGUUAAGCAAGCAUUGGAACUUCUUGUUCAGCAAAGGUAUUUACAAAAGGACAAAGUUAAUGGUCCUGAAGGCAAUACCAUAUACUAUGAGCUUGCUGAGAGAGCUUCAGACGGACCUAUCAGCGACAAGGUCAAGGAAUAUAUAUCUCAGAUUAUGACGGACACUGCCGAACAGUAGCUAGCACGUGAGUACCAAUUGAGAUGAUACCAACUUGAUUGCAACUUAAUCUUGAUCAAUUUGAGAUUAUGACGGACACUGCCGAACAGUAGCUAGCACGUGAGUACCAAUUGAGAUGAUACCAACUUGAUUGCAACUUAAUCUUGAUCAAUUUGAGGUUUAAGCUCUGCAAGAAUAUCAAUCUACAUUUUGUCACGUCAUCAAAUUCUGCCUAAACUGGAUGUAUAAAUAUUUGUAAUAUGCAUUAGUAAUAUUAGCCAAAGCAGAAAUUUUCUUGACUUUUGAGUUUAUCUCCUUGAUAUGUAAUUAAGCAUAAUCAUUACACUUAACAAGUUGCGAUGAAAUGGUUAACUAGUAGUUUUACUUGUA